GGCAUGCAAGUCGAACGAGGAUAUAUCCUUCGGGAUAUAAGCCGAGUGGCGCAAGGGUGAGUAAUGCAUAGAUUACCUGCCUUUAGGAUAAGGACAACUUUGUGAAAACGGAGCUAAUACUUAAUAAUACAAAAGGAAAUAAUUUUCUUUUGUCAAAUGGGGGGUAGCAAUACCUUUCGCCUAAAGAGGGGUUUAUGUCCUAUCAGCUUGUUGGUGGGGUAACGGCCUACCAAGGCAAAGACGGGUAGCCGGCCUUAGAGGGUGGUCGGCCACACUGGGACUGAGACACUGCCCAGACUUCUACGGAAGGCUGCAGUCGAGAAUCUUUCGCAAUGCCCGAAAGGGUGACGAAGCGACGCCGCGUGGGUGAGGAAGGCCUUCGGGUUGUAAAGCCCUGUCAGGAGUUAAGAAAUGUAGGUACGCUAAUAUCGUGCUUAUUUGACAAAGACUCCAAAGGAAGCCACGGCUAACUCUGUGCCAGCAGCCGCGGUAAUACAGAGGUGGCAAGCGUUGUUCGGAAUUAUUGGGCGUAAAGAGCACGUAGGUGGAUUUGUAAGUCAGAUGUGAAAGCCUUCUGUUCAACGGGAGAAUUGCAUCUGAAACUACAAACCUUGAGUGUAGGAGGGGAGAAUGGAACUUCUGGUGGAGCGGUGAAAUGCGUAGAGAUCAGAAGGAACGCCGGAGGCGAAGGCGACUCUCUGGACCGUUACUGACGCUGAGGCGCGAAAGCUAGGGGAGCGAAUGGGAUUAGAUACCCCAGUAGUCCUAGCCGUAAACGAUGGGCACUAAGUAGAGGGGUUUU
Molecule: ribosomal RNA, 802 nt
Filed under: uncultured Candidatus Scalindua sp.
Lineage: Bacteria; Pseudomonadati; Planctomycetota; Candidatus Brocadiia; Candidatus Brocadiales; Candidatus Scalinduaceae
Description: bacterial SSU rRNA
Rfam family: Bacterial small subunit ribosomal RNA
Source: RNAcentral